UUCCGGUUGAUCCUGCCGGAGGCGACCGCUAUUGGAAUUCGAUUAAGCCAUGCGAGUCGAGAGUCUUAGGGACUCGGCGUACCGCUCAGUAACACGUGGGUAACCUGCCCUAUGCUGGGGGAUAACCUCGGGAAACUGAGAAUAAUACCCCAUAGUUCACCACGCCUGGAACGGUGGGUGGAUGAAAGCUCCGGCGGCAUAGGAUGGGCCUGCGGCGUAUCAGGUUGUAGGGGGUGUAAUGUACCCUCUAGCCAUCUACGCGUACGGGUGUUGGGAGACAUCGCCCGGAGAUGGAUUCUGAGACACGAAUCCAGACCCUACGGGGUGCAGCAGGCGCGAAAACUUGGCAAUGCGAGCAAUCGUGACCAGGGAACUCCAAGUGCAUCGGGUAAGACCGAUGCUUUUCUUGACUCUUCAAAGGUCUUGGAAUAAGGGGUGGGUAAGGACGGUGCCAGCCGCCGCGGUAAUACCGGCGCCUCAAGUGGUAGUCGCUUUUAUUGGGCCUAAAACGUCCGUAGCCGGUUUGGUACAUUCGUGGGUAAAUCAAGGCGCUCAACGUCUUGAAUUCUGCGAGCACGGCCAGACUUGGGACCGGGUGAGGUGUGGGGUACUCUCAGGGUAGGGGUAAAAUCCUGUCAUCCUGAGAGGACCACCUGUUGCGAAGGCGCCACACUAGAACGGAUCCGACGGUCAGGGACGAAGCCUAGGGGCACGAACCGGAUUAGAUACCCGGGUAGUCCUAGGUGUAAACGCUGUGGACUUGAUGUUGGGAGUGCUCCGAGCACCCUCAGUGUCGAAGCGAAGGUGAUAAGUCCACUGCCUGGGGAGUACGGUCGCAAGGCUGAAACUUAAAGGAAUUGGCGGGGGAGCACUGCAACCUGAGGAUUGUGCGGUUUAAUUGGAUUCAACGCCGGA
RNAcentral lists this ribosomal RNA (915 nucleotides) under uncultured marine archaeon. RNAcentral's name for it is "bacterial SSU rRNA". It matches the Rfam family "Archaeal small subunit ribosomal RNA", at positions 1 to 922 of the family's 1478-position model. The record is from RNAcentral.